AUACGGAGGGUGCAAGCGUUGUUCGGAAUCACUGGGCGUAAAGGGCGCGCAGGCGGUCCUGCAAGUCAGAUGUGAAAGCCCACGGCUCAACCGUGGAAGUGCAUUUGAAACUGCAGGACUUGAGUAUCAGAGGGGAAAGUGGAAUUCCCGGUGUAGAGGUGAAAUUCGUAGAUAUCGGGAGGAAUACCGGUGGCGAAGGCGACUUUCUGGCUGGAUACUGACGCUGAGGCGCGAAAGCGUGGGGAGCAAACAGGAUUAGAAACCCCAGUAGUCC
Molecule: ribosomal RNA, 274 nt
Filed under: uncultured bacterium
Lineage: Bacteria
Description: partial 16S ribosomal RNA
Rfam family: Bacterial small subunit ribosomal RNA
Source: RNAcentral